CCUACGGGAGGCAGCAGUGAGGAAUUUUCUGCAAUGGGCGAAAGCCUGACAGAGCAAUACCGCGUGAGGGAUGAAGGCCUACGGGUUGUAAACCUCUUUUCUCAAGGAGGAAGAUCUGACGUUACUUGAGGAAUAAGCAUCGGCUAACCCUGUGCCAGCAGCCGCGGUAAUACAGGGGAUGCAAGUGUUAUCCGGAAUUAUUGGGCGUAAAGCGUCUGCAGGUUGAUAUUUAAGUCUUUUGUUAAACCUCCGGGCUCAACCCGGAAUCUGCAAAGGAAACUAUAUAUCUUGAGUAUGGUAGGGGUAAAGGGAAUUUCCAGUGGAGCGGUGAAAUGCGUAGAUAUUGGAAAGAACACCAACAGCGAAGGCACUUUACUGGGCCAGUACUGACACUCAGAGACGAAAAGCUAGGGGAGCCAACAGGAUUAGAUACCCUGGUAGUCCUAGCUGUAAACGAUGGAUACUAGAUGUUGUGUACCUUUGGGUAUGCAGUGUCGUAGCUAACGUACGUUAAGUAAUACCGUCCGUCGGGUAAGGUAAGUAGCGUCGCGAAGAAGUAGAAACGUAACAAAUAAGUAAGUUAGUUACGGCGUGAGAAGUAGCCGAACGGACGACCACGAGGGGAGGAGG
This 630-nucleotide ribosomal RNA is filed under the name uncultured bacterium. Its description in RNAcentral is "bacterial SSU rRNA". The stretch from base 1 to 525 matches the Rfam family "Bacterial small subunit ribosomal RNA", at positions 338 to 873 of the family's 1533-position model. The record is from RNAcentral.